This 131-nucleotide small RNA is filed under the name Salmonella enterica. Its description in RNAcentral is "RtT sRNA". It matches the Rfam family "RtT RNA". From Rfam's summary of the family: This family represents a bacterial cis-regulatory element known as RtT RNA. The exact function of RtT is unknown although it is thought that it may be involved in changing the cellular response in relation to amino acid starvation. The record is from RNAcentral. Lineage: Bacteria; Pseudomonadati; Pseudomonadota; Gammaproteobacteria; Enterobacterales; Enterobacteriaceae. RNAcentral also lists the same sequence under 4 other names.
AUCCCCCAAACCAAGGGGGGAUGAGAACCACCGACCGGGGUUCGACACAAAAACGCCGGGAGCGCUUUUGAACAGAGCUUGCUCUGGCCCCGAAGGGGCGAGCGCAGCGAGUCAAUCCCCCCUCACAGCCA